GGUCCUUUGACUUGAGGUCGUCAUGGUACCUUAUAUGAGGACAGUCAUACUUUGGCGGUGUUGGAUGUUGCUCUGAAAAGGGCCGCUAAUACGACAUCGUUCGGGUACGUCAAGAAUCGUAUGAAGGUUGUGAUUGAUCAAUAAAGGAUUCGUCACUCUUAGAUAGUAGGAGAUUAUGAUCUGCGUUUCAUUCAAUUAAGUCAAUGAUCAAAUCCUUGACCAAGGUGUACUCAUAAAUCGAAAAGGAGUUUUCGAUUUAUAUUGACUUAAUAGUGGAGUGAAAGAUAUGAUCGAUGAUCGAGAUUGACACAAUUCCAUAUCUCGUAAUUGAUCGGAUCAUAUUGACGAAGGGAUUAUAGUUUCAC
This 365-nucleotide long non-coding RNA is filed under the name Olea europaea subsp. europaea. The record is from RNAcentral. Lineage: Eukaryota; Viridiplantae; Streptophyta; Magnoliopsida; Lamiales; Oleaceae.